This 29-nucleotide non-coding RNA is filed under the name Mus musculus (house mouse). The record is from RNAcentral. Lineage: Eukaryota; Metazoa; Chordata; Mammalia; Rodentia; Muridae.
UGUCAACCUGACUGUAUUGCUUUUGUUGG